AAAUUGAAGAGUUUGAUCAUGGCUCAGAUUGAACGCUGGCGUCAGGCCUAACACAUGCAAGUCGAACGGUAACAGGAAACAGCUUGCUGUUUCGCUGAGGAGUGGCGGACGGGGGAGGAAUGUCUGGGAAAAUGCCUGAUGGUGGGGGAUAACUACUGGAAACGGUAGGUAAUACCGCAUAACGUCGCAAGACCAAACUGGGGG
This 204-nucleotide ribosomal RNA is filed under the name Escherichia coli. RNAcentral describes it as "partial 16S ribosomal RNA". It matches the Rfam family "Bacterial small subunit ribosomal RNA", at positions 1 to 200 of the family's 1533-position model. Lineage: Bacteria; Pseudomonadati; Pseudomonadota; Gammaproteobacteria; Enterobacterales; Enterobacteriaceae. The record is from RNAcentral.